This is a long non-coding RNA of Dromaius novaehollandiae (emu), 471 nucleotides long. RefSeq lists it as uncharacterized. The transcript has 3 exons. The record is from RefSeq and is a predicted model, not a curated record. NCBI's taxonomy places the organism in Eukaryota, Metazoa, Chordata, Aves, Casuariiformes, Dromaiidae.
GAUGGAAACCCAGAGGAAUAACCUGAAUGCGCAGGCCUCUUGUGCUGCAUGACCUUACAACCUCUGUGGUGUUUCAAAACUCUGUCCCGUAAUACACCGUACUCUUCUGGUAAGCCUUAGCAAGAUGACUGUGCAGACCUAACAUAUUUAAAGGGCUUCUUGAAAGUACCGUGGAAUUUAGUGCUUUUCAAGGAUAUAUGAAAGUGGUUCUUGUGCAAAUUGAACUGAAACCAACACGGGGAACUUGGAGGAACCUACAAACCCUUCAAUACAGCCAGAGAGAUGGAAAUAAACUGAACUUUGAUUGUAUCAAGAAGCUCAGAAAGGUGGACUUCACUGGUUCUUGUUUCCUUCAAACAUUUUGAUAAUUUUUUAAAAUUGUGACAACAGUAAUCUAAACUCAUAUCUAGCCCUGUGGUACUUCUUUACAGGUUAACAAAGCAGUAAGAAAAUAAAGAAUGCAAAUGUUCA